Molecule: small nuclear RNA, 65 nt
Filed under: Cervus elaphus hippelaphus
Lineage: Eukaryota; Metazoa; Chordata; Mammalia; Artiodactyla; Cervidae
Source: RNAcentral
CUGGCUUCAGCAGCACAUAUGCUAAAAUUGGAAUGUGGCCCCUGAACAAAGAUGACAUGCAAAUU